AAGGGUUUUCCAAACUGGGUGAAAAGUCAUAAUAAGCCUAAUCUGUGUCAGAGUUCAGCUCCUGAUCAGGCUCUGAAGCCAUGGCUGGCUGGGGUAUAACAACCUUGCAGUUUGAAAGUAGAUCAAUAGGUACCACUCCAGCUGGAAGGUAGCAGUACUCAUGCUGGCCACAUGACCUUGGAAGUGUCUACGGGCAACGUUGGCUCUUUGGUUUGGAAAUGGAGAUGAGCACCAACCCCCAGAAUCAGACACGACUAGACUUAAUGUCAGAGGAAAACCUUUACCUUUACCUAAGCUGACUGGAAUUCCCAGGACUUCAUGACAAACUAGUAAUAACUGUAGUUCAAUCAAAUUGCUUUCUUUUUAGUUACCACCUCACUAACCUGAUGCUCCUGAAGUUCAAUUUCCUAACAGAUCAUUAACUAACCCCUUCCUUAUAACUACAUGAAUUAAUGGUGGUGGAAUCCAGAGAGGUUCAUUGAAUGAACUACCUACUUUGGCAGUUAUUUCCUAAUAGCUGAGAAUGCCUUUUAUUUCAAUGUGUACCUACAUCCAUCAACUGUACAAUGAACUGAAAGACAAAGCUUUAAAGGGGAACCGCCCCCCUCAAUAAUGUUUGAUUCACAGGUGCUAUGGGAUAGAAGAAUUAGCAUUUUCUGGUUGGUAAUCCAAGAAAGAGGCCUCUCUUAUUGGAGUGUAUAAAUAAGCUUAUUUAAAGCCCAUGAAAUUGGAACUGCCUCAGAUGUCGGGAAUUAGAAGAUUAGCUUCGCUGUGAUUCUGGUUUUUCCGCCUACAUUAUGAGUCCUGCAGGUGUUUUGGACUCAAAAACCUUGGAUCAAGGAUUCUGGGAGCUAAGGUUCGAAACAUUUAGAAGAUGAGAAUUUGGGGAACACUAUGGGUAAUGAAACUGCUGCAAUAUAAGAAGGAACACUGACCCAGUUGCCUUAGGGCUCAUCCAGACAGUACCUUUAUCCCAGGAGCUCCCACAACAAACAGGAGGGUGGCUAGACACCGUUCCCUGUAAACCCGGAAGCAACUGCUACAAAAGGCAAAAACCGCAAGAUUUCCAGCCGCAGGGAGAGUUGGAUAAUAAAUUCGUCGUCGUCAUCAUCGUCGUCAUCAUCAUCAUCAGGUCUUAUCAAGCACAUACAGCAUCAAAAGGUGUUUAUUGCUUUCUGAACUCUUUAUUGUGUGUGUUGGACCUUUAAAAGUCAGGUGCUUAGAGGAGGCCUGUAAAAGUCAGCCGCAUGUGGACUGAAGUGAGGAGUAGAAAAAUGGGCUCACCUGAACCAGAACGGUUGAAGUUUCUUAACCUCUCCAUCAGGAAAAGUUGAUAUUGGCACCUAGCCAAGGGAAAACACAGAAUUUCAGUGACAAGGGCGUUAACAGCAACUCCCAGGUAAUUUCCUUGUUCAAGAGCAGCACAAGCAACCAUCUGAGAUCAAAAUUAUUCUCUCUCUCAUUCACAAACUGCAUCUCCAAUGGCUUAUACAUAGAUAACCUGGCCAGCUCAACUAGCACCAAGAAAAAAAAACCCCUCACGUUUUAUUUUAUUACUGGAAAGAUCAUAAUUAAUGGAUCCAUUAUGGAUCUGCCCUGACCUGGAUACAAUUGAGGCAUGGAAUGGAUUGAAACUGUGUGUACAUGUGUGUCUGUGUACACAUCAAAAUUCAAUUACAACUCAGGUCUGAUGCUUGUGUAAGUUGUGUAAACAAGGGAAAAUCUACUCAGUUGGGAGAAAUGUCUUGAGAUGAACAGAACUGGUGGUGCCUUAGGUGAAAAUAAGGCUUAAGUGAGAUUAUAAGGGAAGCCCAUGGUAGAUCUGAGGCUGAGGCAAGGUUAGAGGCUGAGCGGGUUAGAGCAAUACAAACUUCUGA
RNAcentral lists this long non-coding RNA (1877 nucleotides) under Anolis carolinensis (green anole). RNAcentral's name for it is "lncRNA (ENSACAG00000031356.2)". The record is from RNAcentral. Lineage: Eukaryota; Metazoa; Chordata; Lepidosauria; Squamata; Anolidae.